UACGUAGGGUGCGAGCGUUGUCCGGAAUUAUUGGGCGUAAAGGGCUCGUAGGCGGCCUGUUGCGUCGGGAGUGAAAACUCAGGGCUUAACCCUGAGCCUGCUUCCGAUACGGGCAGACUAGAGGUAUGCAGGGGAGAACGGAAUUCCUGGUGUAGCGGUGAAAUGCGCAGAUAUCAGGAGGAACACCGGUGGCGAAGGCGGUUCUCUGGGCAUUACCUGACGCUGAGGAGCGAAAGUGUGGGGAGCGAACAGG
This 253-nucleotide ribosomal RNA is filed under the name uncultured bacterium. RNAcentral describes it as "partial 16S ribosomal RNA". It matches the Rfam family "Bacterial small subunit ribosomal RNA", at positions 524 to 776 of the family's 1533-position model. The record is from RNAcentral.